UGUCUGCAAAGCUAGAACUGGAGCUCUUUCUGAAAUUGACACAGAAAUGUAUCAAAUUCAAGUGCGUGGAAGAGUCCUCCAACCCAACAGAUUAAACUCUUCAACCUAUCUGUUCUCUGGGAGGAUAAUCUGGGGCCUGGCAGGAGUGAUGAGGACACUCCCAUCAGCACAAAUUAAUGAAGAAUGCCACGUGGAAAGAAGAAAGAGACACCUAUAGAAGCAAAAUGAUAUGAAGACACAGGGAGAAGACAUCCAUCGAUAAAGCCACGGAGAGGGGCCUGGAACAGAUCCUGCCCUCAUAGUUUUUAGAAGGAACCAACCCUGAUUUUGGACUUUUAGGCCCUGGAACUGUGAGACAAUAAAUUUCUGUUGUCUAAA
Neofelis nebulosa (Clouded leopard) is the source of this 378-nucleotide long non-coding RNA. RefSeq lists it as uncharacterized. The record is from RefSeq and is a predicted model, not a curated record. NCBI's taxonomy places the organism in Eukaryota, Metazoa, Chordata, Mammalia, Carnivora, Felidae. The transcript is spliced from 2 exons.